AGCUCCAAUAGCGUAUAUUAAAGUUGUUGCAGUUAAAAAGCUCGUAGUUGGAUUUCUGGUGCGAUGCACCUGCCCCGCUCUUUGUUGAGUGUGCGUCGGGUCGCGUCCAUCAUCCUCCCAGGGAACGUAUCUGCUCUUCGUUGAGUCUGGUACGCAAACUGGGGCAUUUACUUUGAAAAAAUUAGAGUGUUUAAAGCAGGCUAUUGCUAUGAAUACAUUAGCAUGGAAUAAUAACUUAGGACUUCGGUUCUAUUUUGUUGGUUUUCAGAAUUGAAGUAAUGAUUGAUAGGGAUAGUUGGGGGUGCUAGUAUUGUGCGGCCAGAGGUGAAAUUCUUGGAUUCGCGCAAGACUAACUUAUGCGAAAGCAUUCACCAAGGAUGUCUUCUUUAAUCAAGAACGA
RNAcentral lists this ribosomal RNA (400 nucleotides) under phytoplankton environmental sample. RNAcentral's name for it is "partial small subunit ribosomal RNA". It matches the Rfam family "Eukaryotic small subunit ribosomal RNA", at positions 587 to 986 of the family's 1831-position model. The record is from RNAcentral.